CCUUGUACACACCGCCCGUCACGCCAUGGAAGUUGGGGGACCUGAAGCCGGUGGGCUAACCCGCAACGGGAGGCAGCCGUCAAAGGUCAAUCCAAUGACUGGGCG
Molecule: ribosomal RNA, 105 nt
Filed under: uncultured bacterium
Lineage: Bacteria
Description: partial 16S ribosomal RNA
Rfam family: Bacterial small subunit ribosomal RNA
Source: RNAcentral